UCCUACGGGAGGCAGCAGUGGGGAAUAUUGUGCAAUGGGGGAAACCCUGACGCAGCAAUACCGCGUGAAUGAAGAAGGUCUUCGGAUCGUAAAGUUCUGUUAUUGGGGAAGAAAAAGACGGUACCCAAGGAGAAAGUUCCGGCUAACUACGUGCCAGCAGCCGCGGUAAUA
RNAcentral lists this ribosomal RNA (171 nucleotides) under uncultured bacterium. Its description in RNAcentral is "partial 16S ribosomal RNA". It matches the Rfam family "Bacterial small subunit ribosomal RNA", at positions 337 to 525 of the family's 1533-position model. The record is from RNAcentral.